UACGGAGGAUGCAAGCGUUAUCCGGAAUGAUUGGGCGUAAAGCGUCCGCAGGUGGCAAUGUAAGUCUGCUGUCAAAGCGUCUGGCUCAACCAGAUAAAGGCAGUGGAAACUACAUAGCUAGAGUAAGGUAGGGGUAGAGGGAAUUCCUGGUGUAGCGGUGAAAUGCGUAGAGAUUGGGAAGAACAUCGGUGGCGAAAGCGCUCUACUGGACCGACACUGACACUGAGAGACGAAAGCUAGGGGAGCGAAUGGG
RNAcentral lists this ribosomal RNA (253 nucleotides) under uncultured bacterium. Its description in RNAcentral is "partial 16S ribosomal RNA". It matches the Rfam family "Bacterial small subunit ribosomal RNA", at positions 524 to 776 of the family's 1533-position model. The record is from RNAcentral.